RNAcentral lists this ribosomal RNA (337 nucleotides) under uncultured bacterium. Its description in RNAcentral is "bacterial SSU rRNA". It matches the Rfam family "Bacterial small subunit ribosomal RNA", at positions 32 to 359 of the family's 1533-position model. The record is from RNAcentral.
AAUCAACGCUGGCGGCGUGCCUCAGACAUGCAAGUCGAACGCGAAAGUCCCCUUCGGGGAUGAUUAGAGUGGCGCACGAGUGAGUAACACGUAGGUAAUCUACCUUCGAGGUGGGGAAUAACUCAGGGAAACUUGAGCUAAUACCGCAUAAUGCAGCGGCACCACAUGGUGACAGUUGUUAAAGCAUUUAUGCGCUUGAAGAGGAGCCUGGCGGCGGAUUAGCUAGUUGGUAAGGUAAUGGCUUACCAAGGCUACGAUCUGUAACCGGCCUGAGAGGGCGGACGGCCACACUGACACUGAAUAACGGGUCAGACCCCUACGGGAGGCAGCAGUCGGG